This 634-nucleotide long non-coding RNA is filed under the name Theobroma cacao (cacao). Its description in RNAcentral is "long non-coding RNA (TCAC_LNC001969)". Lineage: Eukaryota; Viridiplantae; Streptophyta; Magnoliopsida; Malvales; Malvaceae. The record is from RNAcentral.
ACCCAACGCCAUAUUCAUCUUUACCACCAUGAAAAUGGAGUUUUUCAAUUUCUUUUCCUUGUUUUCUUCUUAUUUCCUUUCUUUUCUUGCUUAUUUCUCCUCCAAACUUCUUGGGAACUAAAUUUGCAGCUUCUAACCCUAAUUUCCAGCAAAUCUAAACCUUAGGAGAGAGAAAGAAAAAUCUCUCCUUGUUUCUUAUACUUUCUAUUUCUACUUCACUUUCAACAACACUUGGAUUUUUUGCUUCAAAUCUUCAUUUCCAAGGUUGAAAGGUAUAUAUAUUUCCAACUUUUGGAACUUUCGAAUUUAUGGUUAUAUUUUCAUAUUUAUUCCCUAAUUUCUUCAAAUUAUUUUUCUUGGAAAGAUUAGGUUUUUUGUUGAUCUUCAUGCCUCCAAGCUCAUCCAGGUAAUGAAAUUUUAAAUUGGAAUAGUUGGCCAAAUGGGUUUGUGAAUUAGACUAGAAACUUAGGUUAAAUGUUAGGUUAGAGGGUAGAUUGCCUAAUGUAAAUUCAUUAGAAUUAUUAGAUUUAAUUUAUGACUUAAUUGAGGUUGUUAUGGUUUAUUGAUAAAUAUAGGUUUUAAUGGUAUUUCAGGACUACUUGGAUUAAGACCUUGUUGGUGCUAGUUUUGUCAG